AGAAAUCUAAAGGAGUUCGGCACUACAGAAACUAAAAAAAUGUUUAAGAAGCGAAAAAGAGCAAUAACAAAAGGUGGAAGCAGAAGUCAAAGCUUGGUGCAGAAAGCUUCUUGGUAUAAACAGAAGCAGCCGGGGGGAGGAGUGCUAGCCCGACCAGUUGGCCCAGGAAGCUCCAGCUCGUACUUCGGAGGAACUCCGUACUGAAUCCUAAUCAGUGAGAGUUCCUCCAGAGUCAGAGAGCUGGGGAUGGUGUCUGGUAC
RNAcentral lists this long non-coding RNA (260 nucleotides) under Elaeis guineensis (African oil palm). RNAcentral's name for it is "long non-coding RNA (EGUI_LNC044941)". Lineage: Eukaryota; Viridiplantae; Streptophyta; Magnoliopsida; Arecales; Arecaceae. The record is from RNAcentral.